CAGAAAAUAGUUUAUUUAAAAUAUUAAUUUUGGGGAUUAAUGAUAGGGAUUUCUCUUUUUCUGA
RNAcentral lists this transfer RNA (64 nucleotides) under Dixella sp. ZK-2014. RNAcentral's name for it is "tRNA-Pro". The record is from RNAcentral. Lineage: Eukaryota; Metazoa; Arthropoda; Insecta; Diptera; Dixidae. RNAcentral also lists the same sequence under 1 other name.